UGGCAGUCAGAGGCGAUGAAGGACGUGCUAAUCUGCGAUAAGCGUCGGUAAGGUGAUAUGAACCGUUAUAACCGGCGAUUUCCGAAUGGGGAAACCCAGUGUGAUUCGUCACACUAUCAUUAACUGAAUCCAUAGGUUAAUGAGGCGAACCGGGGGAACUGAAACAUCUAAGUACCCCGAGGAAAAGAAAUCAACCGAGAUUCCCCCAGUAGCGGCGAGCGAACGGGGAGCAGCCCAGAGCCUGAAUCAGUGUGUGUGUUAGUGGAAGCGUCUGGAAAGGCGUGCGAUACAGGGUGACAGCCCCGUACACAAAAAUGCACAUACUGUGAGCUCGAUGAGUAGGGCGGGACACGUGGUAUCCUGUCUGAAUAUGGGGGGACCAUCCUCCAAGGCUAAAUACUCCUGACUGACCGAUAGUGAACCAGUACCGUGAGGGAAAGGCGAAAAGAACCCCGGCGAGGGGAGUGAAAAAGAACCUGAAACCGUGUACGUACAAGCAGUGGGAGCACGCUUAGGCGUGUGACUGCGUACCUUUUGUAUAAUGGGUCAGCGACUUAUAUUCUGUAGCAAGGUUAACCGAAUAGGGGAGCCGAAGGGAAACCGAGUCUUAACUGGGCGUUAAGUUGCAGGGUAUAGACCCGAAACCCGGUGAUCUAGCCAUGGGCAGGUUGAAGGUUGGGUAACACUAACUGGAGGACCGAACCGACUAAUGUUGAAAAAUUAGCGGAUGACUUGUGGCUGGGGGUGAAAGGCCAAUCAAACCGGGAGAUAGCUGGUUCUCCCCGAAAGCUAUUUAGGUAGCGCCUCGUGAAUUCAUCUCCGGGGGUAGAGCACUGUUUCGGCAAGGGGGUCAUCCCGACUUACCAACCCGAUGCAAACUGCGAAUACCGGAGAAUGUUAUCACGGGAGACACACGGCGGGUGCUAACGUCCGUCGUGAAGAGGGAAACAACCCAGACCGCCAGCUAAGGUCCCAAAGUCAUGGUUAAGUGGGAAACGAUGUGGGAAGGCCCAGACAGCCAGGAUGUUGGCUUAGAAGCAGCCAUCAUUUAAAGAAAGCGUAAUAGCUCACUGGUCGAGUCGGCCUGCGCGGAAGAUGUAACGGGGCUAAACCAUGCACCGAAGCUGCGGCAGCGACGCUUAUGCGUUGUUGGGUAGGGGAGCGUUCUGUAAGCCUGUGAAGGUGUGCUGUGAGGUAUGCUGGAGGUAUCAGAAGUGCGAAUGCUGACAUAAGUAACGAUAAAGCGGGUGAAAAGCCCGCUCGCCGGAAGACCAAGGGUUCCUGUCCAACGUUAAUCGGGGCAGGGUGAGUCGACCCCUAAGGCGAGGCCGAAAGGCGUAGUCGAUGGGAAACAGGUUAAUAUUCCUGUACUUGGUGUUACUGCGAAGGGGGGACGGAGAAGGCUAUGUUGGCCGGGCGACGGUUGUCCCGGUU
Molecule: ribosomal RNA, 1434 nt
Filed under: Shigella flexneri
Lineage: Bacteria; Pseudomonadati; Pseudomonadota; Gammaproteobacteria; Enterobacterales; Enterobacteriaceae
Also listed under: 1 other name
Description: partial 23S ribosomal RNA
Rfam family: Bacterial large subunit ribosomal RNA
Source: RNAcentral